UACGCGCGUGUUUCUGUCUACAAGUUUGUGUGCAUAUGCCUGCGCAUGUGUUUUUGUGAGUGUGUGUGCACGUGUGUGUGUGUGUGUGUGUGUGGUAAUAGUAAUCAAUAUUGUGACUCAUUCUUUCUACUGCGGCUACUUCCUAACAGCAUUCAUUAGCCCAAACGCAAUCUUUGCGCCCGAUAAUCACAUCCUGCCAGGCUCCAUCUUCUUCUCUGGUUGGCAUCAGACCAGCAAAUGAAGAUAAGUCGCACAUCAUUAAAACGCCAUGAUGGCUAACUGCUAGCAUGCGAACAGACAACCAAUCCAGACGUCUUAUUUCCGGCUCUCGACCGACUCUUCCACCCACCCGUUCGGCGGCUCUGCUCACCUGAGGCUCGGCCGCCUGGUGACGCUCAAUCUCCGGUUGUCUUCUCCCCGCCGGGUCCCUGGCAGCCUCCGCGGGGCAUGGCGGCUCACGGAGAGGUUCGACGUCUGCGGGAUGUGACGCUUUUCCGUCCGCUGUCCUCUCACAGAGCGUCGCACGUCGUCCCCGCCGUAUGCUCCAUCUUUCGCUCCGGUGCGUCGUCGUCUGACUCGGGUGUCUUAUGUCUGUCCGUGAUGUUGCUUUCAGGCAGGUUGGCGCUGACAUCACAGCACACGCGGAAAUGGCGACCUCCGGCGUGGUAAUUUGUCAUUGCAAGCGCGUUAACCCGAGGACGUUCAACUCACUGUUGUUUUUUUUUUUGUCCAAUCAGAUUUCAGCCUCCUGUGUUGCCACGUCAAUCUUAAUCUGCCCACAACCUUCAAAAUCAGUAUGGACUAUAUUAGCAAUUGGACUGUUUACAGCCAAAUUUGACUCGCAAAACACAUCUGUAGCGAUCUGCACAUGUCGGUAAACUUUGCCAUUAAUGCGAUCCAGCAACCGCCCCCCCCCAAAAAAAAAAAGUUUUGUAAUGUGUACUUUAAUGACAAUAAAUAACACUGUAUUUUACAUCAUUAAAAAAGAUACAGUAAUGACGAGAAUGUAAAAAGUUAAACCAUUGUUGUCACACUUUUUUGCUUCUAUGGUCAUUAUGCUGCGAGUUGUGGACAUAUAGUAUAAAAUUGAUCACAUAAUUCUGACUGUUAAAAUUGUUAGUUGCUUUGGUCUGCAGCCUUCAUUUACUAAAAUCAAGACAAAUGACUGUAAGCAUGAGCAGUUAUGUUUAAAAAUAUAUGUUUUCAAAGGCUGUUUUGAACAUGUCUUUAAUGUUCCUUACUUCUAUAAACAUGGGUCGUGACUUAGUGACAAUAGAAAUAUACGGGUCCCAGGGUGACAACAAUUGAGAACCAAUGGGCUACAGAAUAUAUCCCAUCUCUCUGUGGCAUCCUGCUGAUGACACUCUUAAGCUCAAUGGCGAGUUGUGCUGCCGAAGUGACGGAAGACUUGAAGGUGGAGGUGGGACUGUAUCAAGGGCGGGUUC
Molecule: long non-coding RNA, 1445 nt
Organism: Phyllopteryx taeniolatus (common seadragon)
Lineage: Eukaryota; Metazoa; Chordata; Actinopteri; Syngnathiformes; Syngnathidae
Exons: 3
Source: RefSeq, a predicted model, not a curated record